Molecule: ribosomal RNA, 588 nt
Filed under: Candida tropicalis
Lineage: Eukaryota; Fungi; Ascomycota; Pichiomycetes; Serinales; Debaryomycetaceae
Description: eukaryotic LSU rRNA
Rfam family: Eukaryotic large subunit ribosomal RNA
Source: RNAcentral
CUUCUUAUUGCCUUACCUAGCGGCGAGUGAAGCGGCAAAAGCUCAAAUUUGAAAUCUGGCUCUUUCAGAGUCCGAGUUGUAAUUUGAAGAAGGUAUCUUUGGGUCUGGCUCUUGUCUAUGUUUCUUGGAACAGAACGUCACAGAGGGUGAGAAUCCCGUGCGAUGAGAUGAUCCAGGCCUAUGUAAAGUUCCUUCGAAGAGUCGAGUUGUUUGGGAAUGCAGCUCUAAGUGGGUGGUAAAUUCCAUCUAAAGCUAAAUAUUGGCGAGAGACCGAUAGCGAACAAGUACAGUGAUGGAAAGAUGAAAAGAACUUUGAAAAGAGAGUGAAAAAGUACGUGAAAUUGUUGAAAGGGAAGGGCUUGAGAUCAGACUUGGUAUUUUGUAUGUUACUUCUUCGGGGGUGGCCUCUACAGUUUAUCGGGCCAGCAUCAGUUUGGGCGGUAGGAGAAUUGCGUUGGAAUGUGGCACGGCUUCGGUUGUGUGUUAUAGCCUUCGUCGAUACUGCCAGCCUAGACUGAGGACUGCGGUUUAUACCUAGGAUGUUGGCAUAAUGAUCUUAAGUCGCCCGUCUUGAACACCGGGGCACCA